Molecule: unclassified non-coding RNA, 536 nt
Filed under: Hevea brasiliensis (rubber tree)
Lineage: Eukaryota; Viridiplantae; Streptophyta; Magnoliopsida; Malpighiales; Euphorbiaceae
Source: RNAcentral
GUCCUUAUAGAAUUGUGUUUCUUUUUGUAUAAAGGAAUGAUGUGGAUCUGGAUGCUUUAUGCCAUUCUUACUGUAACAUUAUGGGAUGUUUCAUUCGAAUAGAUAACUCUCUGUAAUUAACAAUCCUAGUUUAUUUGCCAUUUAUGAGUUUGAAUUUAACAAUGAUUUAUUGAAUUAAACUAUCAAAUAGAAGAAAUCUGUGGCUAAGUAAAUUUAUUAUCUUUGAGGAGUUUUGUCUUGCCUGGGCUUGUGAAUUUUUCUUGUUAAGGUCGUCCUAUUUAUAUAAUAUUAUUGUGCUGGUAAAUUUAAGAUUCUUAUUCUCCCUCUUUGGUCUGUGGUCUUUGUAUCACCAAUUACACUGCAUUUUUGCCAUAACAUCUGGUGUGGUGAAUGAACCUGUUUUUCAGUGGUGACAACAUCACUUAUUUGUGUUACCUGGGCAGCAAUGCUCUACUGGUACAUCAGAAUUCUUGGUAUCACUUGAACUUUCAGAUCCAAAUUAGCCAAAAGGAUAAAUUUGCACUUAAUAACAUGGU